Molecule: long non-coding RNA, 240 nt
Filed under: Ananas comosus (pineapple)
Lineage: Eukaryota; Viridiplantae; Streptophyta; Magnoliopsida; Poales; Bromeliaceae
Description: long non-coding RNA (ACOM_LNC012001)
Source: RNAcentral
AUUUGGAAGCCUUGGUGGGUUCUACAAGCUCUCCUACAAGAAGGAUUUGGAGGAGCUUGGGCUAAGGUGAGUUUUUGGUAUAAAUGAGUCUAGGGCUUGGUUUUGAUCCCUAGGAUUUGGAGUUUUGGGUUGUUUUUAGCCUUGGGAGCCUUCUAUAGGCCUUGAACUCCAUGGAACCCAUGAGAGCUCAAGUGCUCUCAUGGUGGAUGGUUAGGGUUCACCAUAGAAGCCCUAGGGUUG